RNAcentral lists this ribosomal RNA (253 nucleotides) under uncultured bacterium. Its description in RNAcentral is "partial 16S ribosomal RNA". It matches the Rfam family "Bacterial small subunit ribosomal RNA", at positions 524 to 776 of the family's 1533-position model. The record is from RNAcentral.
AACGUAGGAUACAAACGUUAUCCGGAGUUACUGGGCGUAAAGGGCGUGUAGGUGGUUGCGUAAGUCUGGCGUGAAAUUUUUCGGCUUAACCGGGAAAGGUCGUCGGAUACUGCGUAGCUAGAGGACGGUAGAGGCGUGUGGAAUUCCGGGUGUAGUGGUGAAAUGCGUAGAGAUCCGGAGGAACACCAGUGGCGAAGGCGACACGCUGGGCCGUACCUGACACUGAUGCGCGACAGCAUGGGGAGCAAACAGG